UACAUAUAUUUAGAUAUACAUAUUAUUUAUUGUGUGUAUAUGUGUAUAUUUGUGUGUGUGUGCGUGUAAUCUUUUCACCAAAGAGACCUACAAAUUUGUUGAAUAUUAUCUUUGGUUAAAAAAAAAAAAAAAAACUUUAGACAAAUUAAAUUUAACAGAGAUUCACUGAGCAAAGAACAAUUUGAAAAUGGGGUAGCCCACGGAACCAGAAUAGGCUCAAAGUGACUCCGGGGUCGCCACAUGAUUGAAUGACAUUUACAGACGGAAAAAGGAAAGUAACAUACACAAAGUAGGAGCAAUGUACAGAAACAUCUGGAUUGGCUACAUGUGGGUGUUUGCUUUAGUUGAGCCUGGUUUGUAUAGUUGGCUGCCUGUAGUUGACUCAAGUUCAGCUGCAGGGAUUGGCUGAGGCUCAGCUACUUAUGACAAGAGUAGGUUGCAAUCUGUUUACACAUCAAGUUGGGUUACAGUUUAUUGUGUAUGGAAAAACCUUUUGGCCAAGUGUAAUUUAACCAUUUCCCCUUUUGUCAACUUCUUAAUUGAAAACGAUUAAAGAAAAUCUUAGGCAUUGAGGUCACUCUGUCAUCAUUGUAAAUGGACUUAUUUGGUCUCAAAUCCCUUUGGAGAAUGGCAGAACAGUGGGUUUUGUAGGUGGGAACAAGGAAACCGAACAGCAGGAAAAAAUGCUGGGGAGCAUCAGGUCUCUUCAGAUUUCUUUUUUGUAAGAGAGCAGAGGAGGCUUCCCUAUUAUCCUAAAAUCUCCUGUUUGAGAGAGGAAAACAAAAAUGGGCCUGUUUUGAGAUUUAUUUCCUUAAAGUUUUAGUUUUAUUAUGUGGCAUUUAACAUGAGUGACUUCAUUUUUAUUUGGUCUAGUCUGUUGGGACCUAGUGCCGGAGCUCAGUCCAAAACAGUGACCUCCAAUAAUUUUGUUUAGAAAUUUCUCCCUUUCGAUCAGGAUCUCAUCUAGGUGUGCAUGUGACCAAAACUUAGGGCAUUAGCACUGUUCUCAGUUACCAUCAUUUUAGCUUGCCAGUCUCACUAUAUCAUUCAUAGGUUAUGGUGUCCUCAUGAAUGCAAAUUUCUUUAACAUUUUGUCUUCCAAUCAAAGAAAGUCUAUUUAACAUUCUACAGAUGUCUGCAUGCAAACAUUUAAAACUUUUGAGAGAAUACAGUUCACCAGAAAGACUAUUAUUAUGACUAUCAAAAGGACAAUACCAAAUAUGCUGCUUAGCCAGGGUCCCCAUAAACCAAAACAACUAAAAUUAAAUAGAUGAAAGAAUGUGCCAGAUGAAAAGUGUACCUAUUUUAACCAAGCAGCCUGUUUGUUAAUCCCUUGCAACCAAGUCUCUAAUACCUGACGUAUUCCUCCAUGUGUAACAAGAAGUGUGAGCAAUUGCAGAUUCUUUCCUGUUCAGCUAACAGGUAAUUUAGAGCAGUUCUAUUAUUUAGUACAACUUUAACAAGAGAAUGUAAAGAAAUCUGCUCUGCAAUUACAGCCUUUGCAAUAGAAUCUACUAUAGAGCCUAUUAUGAAGGAUACAUCUCUAAUUAUUGCCUCUUUUAUUAUAUAUUUACUCCAAGCUCUGGAAAAGGGGGCCUAACAAAUGAUGCACAUCUAGAAGGGUGAAGAGCUCCUGACAAUUUUCUCUUUAAUGUAUGAUGUAAGGUAAGAGGAGUGGACCCGUGCUCUGUUUCUACUGAUUUGGAGCAGCAGCGAAGAAUUUGAAGCCCACAUUGGCCCUUCAUCUUCAAUCCAACAAGACAUAAUGUUGCCAUGGAUUAGAUGGGCUGUGAAAUCCUCUAUAAAUAAAACUAUAACCCUUGGGUGAACACGAAGACCUAUUGCUCACAUAUACAUUAUAACAGUUUCUGGCCAAGAGUCUGAGACAGAAUUACUACAGGUUAAAAUAACAUUGUGGUACCGCGGCAUAUAGUUAAUUUGCAAAAAACUCCAUUUGAGUAAGUCUGUUUUGUAAUAUACUCAUUGGUCUGGCUCUGCAUACCAUUAAAACAGAGAAUACCAACAAGUUGGUUGAGAAAUCUUACCACUGCUACAAUUCGGACAACAGUUACAUUAAGGAUGUUACUAAAGUAACCCACAAAGUAAAUUACAGGAUCCCUUAAGUCAUAUGAAGACCUGGGUUUGAUAUGACAGAUUCAACACUCUGUCAAGUUACUCACAGAUAUUACUAAUGGUGAAAUUUUAAUUACAGCAUUCUUCUGCUGCUUUGAUUUGGAUGAUUGUCCCCUUCAAAUCUCAUAUUGAAAUUUAAUCUCCAACGUUGGAUGUGCACCUAAUGGGAGGUUUUUGGGUCAUAGGAGUGGAUCCCUCAUGAAUAGAUUAAUGUCCUCUCAGAGGGUAUGGGAGGGAGAAGUGUGACUGAGUUAUUGUUCUAUUUUUUUCUCAUGAGUUCUGAUUGUUAAAAACAAAAACUAAAACUAAAGGAAAAAAAAGCCUGGCACCUCCCCUCUACUCUGUCCAGCAUCCUGUCUUGCCAUGUGAUCCCUGCACAUGCUCUACUUCACUUUCUGCCAUGAAUGGAAGCAGCUCGAGGCCUUCACCAGGAACAGAUGCUGGUGUCAUGCUUUCUCUCCAGCCUACAGAACUAUUUCACAAAUCUGAGUUACCUGGGAAGAUCUAAAGGGAAGUAAUUCCAAACAGGAUUUCCAUUCCACAUGGAAAUGUGACAAGAAGAAUUAAAAGGAGCAAAAUGAGGAUGGUGCUGUUAGAGAGAUGACUGCAAAGGAGGACCUGUCCAUUUACAAUUGCACUUGGAUUCAGUUGACAUCCAAUAACUACAUAUAUGUUGAGCAAACAGAUAGAUGGAUGGAUGGAUGACUGGAUAGAAGAUACAUUAAACUUUAUUCUGUCUAAACCUUAAUUAAAAGAUACUGGCAGGAGACAGGAGACUCCUGGUUUCGAGACAAAGAACUUCAUUAAUCAUGCAUGGCACAGCAAGCAGCAUGAGCAUCAACAUGUUUGAGUCGAUUUCUCUUGCUGCCCCCUCCCAAGUCCAUGGGGGUGGUGCAGAAUGCCCGGAUAGAUGCACAGUGGAUUUUGUUACAGGGGAGGAAUACUGCGCCUAGGAGAUCUACAAUUUUCAUAGUAAGCAGUAAGCAAGCCUGCUGCUUGUCAUGAAGACAUUACCUAAUCCCCUGAAGAUGCUGUCUGUAAACACAGCCUUGGGAAAUGGUUCCCUUAAAGAGCAGUCAGUGCCUUCCAUUCAUGGCAUACUGGCAAGACAUGCAGGAGGAGUCCAAGAGGUCUAUGAAGGACAUUCCCACAACAUCAGUCAGGAUCCAGAGUGCGAUGCUAGAAAUAUGUUUUGACUGAAGCAAGACGUCCAGUAUUUCUCCUUUCAAUAUUUUUUCCAUCUGCUUUCAAUCCAUCCAGGUAUCUUCAGGUUCUUAUACGGAGAUUCCCUUCUCGGGCAAGGGAAAAAUCCAUUUUGCAAUGGACAUAUUUCAGGGUGCUAGCUGUGAAAUGGGGUGCUGAUUGCUGAGUAGAAAAUACAGAAGACACAGUGUGAGAGGUGACAACAUGCUAGCAGCCCUUGCUCUCGGGGCCUCCUUGGUCUUGGCGUCCACUCUGGCCGUGCUUGCAGAGCCCUUCAGCCCACCACUGCACUGAGGGAGCCCCUCUCUGGGCUGACCCAGGCCGGAGCCGGCUGCCUCUGCUUGCAGGGAGGUGUGAAGGGAGAGGCACGGGCGGGAACCAGGGCUGCGCACCGUGCUUGUGGGACAGCGCGAGUUCCCGGUGUGCAUGGGCUUGGCGGGCCGCACUCAGAGUGGAGGCCCAGCACCCCUGGCCCCAGGCAGUGAGGGGCUUAGCAUGGGGGCCAGCAGCUGUGGAGGUUAUGCUAGGUCCCCCAGCAGUGAGGGCCCACCACCUGCAGUGCUAGAAUUCUCGCGGACCUCAGCUGCCUCCCCAUGGGGCAGGGCUCGGGAUCUGCACCCUGCCACACCCAAGCCUCCCCCAUGCUGUGGGCUCCUGCUCAGCAGAGCCUCCCCAAGGAGCACCAUCUCCUGCCCCACAGCACCUGGUCCCAUCCACUGCCCAAGGGCUGAGGAGUGCAGGCAAAUGGUGCUGGACUGGUGGGCAACUCCGCCUGCUGCCAGUGCCGGAUCCAGCAGGUGAAGCCAGCUGUGCUCCUGAGGCUAGUGGGGACUUGAAUCUUUGUGUCUAGCUAAGGGAUUGUAAAUACACCAAUCAGCACUCUGUGUCUAGCUCAAGGUUUGUAAACACA
This is a non-coding RNA of Macaca mulatta (Rhesus monkey), 4246 nucleotides long. The record is from RefSeq and is a predicted model, not a curated record. Lineage: Eukaryota; Metazoa; Chordata; Mammalia; Primates; Cercopithecidae.